RNAcentral lists this transfer RNA (73 nucleotides) under Apaloderma vittatum (bar-tailed trogon). It matches the Rfam family "tRNA". From Rfam's summary of the family: Transfer RNA (tRNA) molecules are approximately 80 nucleotides in length. Lineage: Eukaryota; Metazoa; Chordata; Aves; Trogoniformes; Trogonidae. The record is from Rfam by way of RNAcentral.
GGCUGGCUAGCUCAGUCAGUUAGAGUGUGGUGCUGAUAACACCGAUAUCGCGGGUUCGAUCCCUGCUCGGUCC